Musa acuminata AAA Group (dessert banana) is the source of this 664-nucleotide long non-coding RNA. RefSeq lists it as uncharacterized. NCBI's taxonomy places the organism in Eukaryota, Viridiplantae, Streptophyta, Magnoliopsida, Zingiberales, Musaceae. The record is from RefSeq and is a predicted model, not a curated record. The transcript has 2 exons.
AUAUAUAUAUAUAUAUAUGUUUGGAGUAAUAAGUCAUUUUUGUGGUUCAUUCUCCAUGAGAUGGCUUUACCCAUGGGAAUGGCCUUGGUUUGAAACAACCAUGCAAAAAGGGGACAUUGCUAAAUAUUCCCCUUGACUGGUAAUAUGCCCUGUGCAACUAGCUUAGAUAAUGGUCUAUGUUUCGCAUAGCCUUUUUUACUGGUGAAACAUGGAUAAUUUGCCUGUUACUUGAAGAGGGAAGGAGCUGUUUGUACAUGUACAAGUACUUAAGAGCAAGGGUGUGAGGACUGAUCCUUAGAUAACACUUGGGAAUGGAUCUCAUGUCCUUCCACUCACAACUUUGUAACUAGUCGAGAUUAUGAUCGUUGUGGCCUAUCAUGGUUAUUCUCUGUGGACACGUGUGCCGGUGCUGUGUGAUGCUUAUGCACAAUCUUUUGUUGUGCGCUUGAUGGAUUAGUGAGCAUGUUUGUAGGAGCGCAUGUUUUUUUGGGAGGUACAUGUAUGAUUACUUUACCCUAUUCAAAUUACAAUCUUUUUUCCAUUGUCACACCAACUCAGAUUUCUCCUCUCACCAUUUUGAUGUCGAGGCAAAUAAUUUAUCUUCUAAUGUCUGGGGGAUGUUUGUAUGUAUAAUUGUUUGAUAUUCUAGUGUGAGAAUUUUAUA